RNAcentral lists this long non-coding RNA (322 nucleotides) under Ananas comosus (pineapple). RNAcentral's name for it is "long non-coding RNA (ACOM_LNC021050)". The record is from RNAcentral. Lineage: Eukaryota; Viridiplantae; Streptophyta; Magnoliopsida; Poales; Bromeliaceae.
AGUUAGUCGAUCCUGGAUGAAGUACAAUUCUUGGAUUUUGAGAAUUCACUUCCUUACAGGCGGCGCACGGGGCUGCGGCGGCCGGCGGGGACAAUCGUCGGAGAUUAGGGCGAUGUCGGCAGAGAGAGCGAGGAGGCAAAGUAGUCUUGGGCCUCCUCUCAACUCGAGAGAAAGAAAGAGAGAGAUAGAGAGAGGGAAGGUGGUAAUGGCUGCGGCUGCGACUGUGGCUGCUGUUGGCUGGCCGAGGCUAGGUCCGCCGUGGCCGGCGCGUGCACGACGAGGGCAGGUGAGGAAGAUGGAGGUGGCUGGGGUUAGUAGGGGG